RNAcentral lists this ribosomal RNA (466 nucleotides) under uncultured bacterium. RNAcentral's name for it is "bacterial SSU rRNA". It matches the Rfam family "Bacterial small subunit ribosomal RNA", at positions 330 to 793 of the family's 1533-position model. The record is from RNAcentral.
UCCAGACUCCUACGGGAGGCAGCAGUGAGGAAUAUUGGUCAAUGGGCGCGAGCCUGAACCAGCCAAGUCGCGUGAGGGAGGACGGCCCUACGGGUUGUAAACCUAUUUUGCCGGGGAGCAACGGGCGUCACGUGUGGCGCCACUGAGAGUACCCGGAGAAAAAGCAUCGGCUAACUCCGUGCCAGCAGCCGCGGUAAUACGGAGGAUGCGAGCGUUAUCCGGAUUUAUUGGGUUUAAAGGGUGCGCAGGCGGCGUGUCAAGUCAGCGGUAAAAUGUCGGGGCUCAACCCCGGCCGGCCGUUGAAACUGGCGUGCUCGAGUUGGAGAGAAGUAUGCGGAAUUCGUGGUGUAGCGGUGAAAUGCAUAGAUAUCACGAAGAACCCCGAUUGCGAAGGCAGCAUACCGGCUCCACACUGACGCUGAGGCACGAAAGCGUGGUUAUCGAACAGGAUUAGAUACCCCAGUAG